GGAGAAGUGGUCUAGUGGUAGGGCCCAGGCACUUCGAAUGCAUGUCCUGGAUGUCAGUUCGAGUCUGACCUUCUCCA
This 77-nucleotide transfer RNA is filed under the name Pseudocercospora pini-densiflorae CBS 125139. RNAcentral's name for it is "tRNA-Arg (TCG) (tRNA-Arg-TCG-2-1)". It matches the Rfam family "tRNA". From Rfam's summary of the family: Transfer RNA (tRNA) molecules are approximately 80 nucleotides in length. Their secondary structure includes four short double-helical elements and three loops (D, anti-codon, and T loops). The record is from RNAcentral. Lineage: Eukaryota; Fungi; Ascomycota; Dothideomycetes; Mycosphaerellales; Mycosphaerellaceae.